CCUACGGGAGGCAGCAGUGGGGAAUAUUGCGCAAUGGGCGAAAGCCUGACGCAGCGACGCCGCGUGGGGGAUGAAGGUCUUCGGAUCGUAAACCUCUGUCAGCAGGGAAGAAGGGUGACUGUGCUAAUCAGCAGUGAAUUGACGGUACCUGCAAAGGAAGCACCGGCUAACUCCGUGCCAGCAGCCGCGGUAAUACGGAGGGUGCGAGCGUUAAUCGGAAUGACUGGGCGUGAAGCGCACGUAGGCGGUAUGUCAAGUCAAGGGUGAAAUCCCCGCGCGCAACGUGGGAACUGCCUUUGAAACUGGCAAACUGGAGUUUGUGAGAGGAUAGUGGAAUUCCAGGUGUAGGAGUGAAAUCCGUAGAUAUCUGGAGGAACAUCAGUGGCGAAGGCGACUAUCUGGCACAUAACUGACGCUGAGGAGCGAAAGCGUGGGUAGCAAACAGGAUUAGAUACCCUUGUAGUC
This 465-nucleotide ribosomal RNA is filed under the name uncultured bacterium. RNAcentral describes it as "partial 16S ribosomal RNA". It matches the Rfam family "Bacterial small subunit ribosomal RNA", at positions 338 to 795 of the family's 1533-position model. The record is from RNAcentral.